This 311-nucleotide ribosomal RNA is filed under the name uncultured eukaryote. Its description in RNAcentral is "partial 18S ribosomal RNA". It matches the Rfam family "Eukaryotic small subunit ribosomal RNA", at positions 1470 to 1796 of the family's 1831-position model. The record is from RNAcentral.
CCCCUAGACGUUCUGGGCUGCACGCGCGCUACAAUAAUACGCACAGCGAGUAUCACCGAGCUCGAAAGGGCAAGGUAAACAAUAGAAAAGGUACUGUAAUGGUUAUAGAUCCUUGUAAUUAUUGAUCUUCAACGAGGAAUUCCUAGUAAGUAUGUGUCAUCAUCACGCACUGAUUACGUCCCUGCCCUUUGUACACACCGCCCGUCGCUCCUACCGAUUGGGUGAGCCGAUGAAACUCUCGGAUGUAGGCUAUUCAUAGCCCGCAGAAGAGAUUUGAAUCGUAGCGCUUAGAGGAAGUAGAAGUCGUAACA